GUUCUUCUGUUGACCAGCAGAACGCAAACCUGAUCAAAGGCUACCGGAAGCCUUAAGUAGACCAAAAUGGGGGCUCAAAUAUGCUAAUGGAUGAGCUAAAUAUACUUUAAUCCUGUUAUAAUACAAGAGUGUCAACAGUUGGGUGAGCAAGCCUCCUCAGUGCUUAGAUCAGUAUCCUGUGACCUUCCACAUUGAAGUGCGCCAUUCAGCCAAGCCUUCCAGCUGUUGCCUGAAUGGUGCUAUGCAGGCAUUUCUUCCUGUGGCAGCCGCAUGAUGGUCUGUCCCCAGUGUCUCCGGAGAUGCUCUAGAGAGGGACCUGACCAAGAUUUUGCCCUGCUGUGCCCUGUCACCUGCUUUGGGUCUUCAGUCUUGCCUCCUAACCUCAGAGAAAGGGCCAGCGAGGGCAAAGCUCAGCCCUGCCACAUCUUAGGUUCCAGAAAGUUCACAAGGCUGCAACCCCAUUGCUCAAAUCACUAACCUCAGACUCCCUCCGAAGUCCCAGCAAGCAUCCAGGAACACUGCUGUUUAAGAAGCUGACAGUGUGUGCGCCCCCACCCCCAAUUUUAUAUGUAGCAGAUGGUGUUCAAACAAGUUAAGGAGCAGAAGCUGCAAAGGGCUUAAAAGAAAAAAAAAAGACAGUGAAACUCAUAUAUUUCUUCAAACGAUAAGAUGAACUGCAGAUGUCUGAAGACUGGUGAUGGUGCUGCCUGCGACUCCAGCUCCACUUAAAAGAAGAGUCCGCUUAUGUUUAGCGUUGGACAAGCCCGGUAGCUGUCACGGCAUGAUUUACGGAGGUUGAUGAGCCUGGAAUCCAUGAACCCUGCUUCCCACUCAGGAUGAGAUGGAAUCACAGAUAGCAUGGAGAAGCAGUAAGGAGAGACCCUGCCUUGAAAACAAAGCAGAAGGAAAAGAAAAGCUACCCUUGAAAAGCCAUUAUUUGACUUCCACAUGGAUGCAUGGCAUGUGCCCCGACCCCCCCAUAAAUCAAUAAAAUUGAAGUGUUUAUCUAAUUAUUCUUUAUCAAUAAAAAAUCAGGAGUCACA
Molecule: long non-coding RNA, 1043 nt
Organism: Mesocricetus auratus (golden hamster)
Lineage: Eukaryota; Metazoa; Chordata; Mammalia; Rodentia; Cricetidae
Exons: 7
Source: RefSeq, a predicted model, not a curated record